ACACCGAAUCCCCAAGCGUUAUCCGGAUUUAUUGGGCGUAAAGGGUCCGUAGGCGGCCCGCCAGGUUUUCUGUUAAAUCUCUAGGGCUUAACCUUAGAACUGCAGAAAAAACCGGUGGGCUAGAGGGCGUUAGAGGUUGAUGGAACGCUCGGUGUAGGGGUGGAAUCCGUUGAUAUCGAGCGGAACACCAAAAGCGAAGGCAUUCAACUGGGGCGGCCCUGACGCUGAGGGACGAAAGCAUGGGUAGCAAAAAGGAUUAGAGACACGAGUAGUCC
RNAcentral lists this ribosomal RNA (275 nucleotides) under uncultured bacterium. Its description in RNAcentral is "partial 16S ribosomal RNA". It matches the Rfam family "Bacterial small subunit ribosomal RNA", at positions 523 to 796 of the family's 1533-position model. The record is from RNAcentral.